RNAcentral lists this microRNA (21 nucleotides) under Penaeus japonicus. RNAcentral's name for it is "miR-275". Lineage: Eukaryota; Metazoa; Arthropoda; Malacostraca; Decapoda; Penaeidae. The record is from RNAcentral.
UCAGGUACCUGAUGUAGCGCG